AUGUGGAUAUAUUCAAACUUUCAAAAAGGACAGUGUUUAGAAAGGGUAAAACUAGGACACAGAAAACAUUGGGAAUUACCACGACCCCCAAGUGCUUCCGGCUCCAGGAAAUAACCAUUCAUGUGUUUGCUGGAGGUCACGCAAUUUUCCCCUAUUACCUGGUGCAAAAUGACUCAUCACUUCCCAAAAGCUUCUUUUCAAACCACGAUUUUCCCAUUUAUUUUGGUCCAAUGCAGUCCCAUUCUUUAUGGCCUAUAGUCUCACUCCCAACUACCCCCCUGGGGGGU
This 287-nucleotide long non-coding RNA is filed under the name Homo sapiens (human). RNAcentral describes it as "non-protein coding lnc-SERTM2-1:6". Lineage: Eukaryota; Metazoa; Chordata; Mammalia; Primates; Hominidae. The record is from RNAcentral.